RNAcentral lists this ribosomal RNA (417 nucleotides) under uncultured bacterium. RNAcentral's name for it is "bacterial SSU rRNA". It matches the Rfam family "Bacterial small subunit ribosomal RNA", at positions 100 to 505 of the family's 1533-position model. The record is from RNAcentral.
GAACGGGUGAGUAUGCUUCGGUAAUCUGCCCAAUGGUGGGGAAAUAACCGAGCCGAAAGGUUGGCUAAUACCGCAUACGUCCUACGGGAGAAAGCAGGGGUAUCGUAAGACCUUGCGCCGAAUGGAUGAGCCGAAGCUCGGAUUAGCUAGUUUGGUAGGGUAACGUGGCUACCAAGGGGACAGUCCGUAGCUGGUCUGAUGAGGACACCAGCCAACUGGGCACUGUGCACACGGUACAAACUCCUAAACGGGGGCAGCAGUGGGGAAUAUUGGACAAUGGGGGCAACCCUGAUCCAGCGACGCCGCGUGUGUGAGAAGGCCUGCGGGUUGUAAGCACUUGUAGUGGGGAAUGAAAAGCCUAGAGCUAAUGACCUCUGGGUCUUGACCUAACCCACAGAAAAGCACCGGUUAACUCUG